GACCCACGUAAUCCUUUAAGGCCACUGGUUUCCGUUACAUGGUAACAUGAAACGGAAUAGGAGAAAUGUAAACGGUGAGACGGUGAUGUAAGACAGAGCCCGAUAAUGCCAAGGACAUGCGACGCUCAUCAUGAACGGAACGCUGAAUGCAUUCUACUACAGUGAUCGAUGAAUAUUUAAAUCUAUUUCUCGUCUAUCUCACCUGUUACCCCGGCGAUCAGUCGAUCAAUUGCACCGGCUUCAUAAAGUUCCUGCGGUGCGUAAAACGAAGAAAGUAAAGAUCUUUCGCCAAACUUGACGAACUUUUUCGAUCGCGUAUCAACCAGAUCGAUGGUCUUGGGGGUGAUU
This 348-nucleotide long non-coding RNA is filed under the name Neodiprion lecontei (redheaded pine sawfly). RNAcentral describes it as "uncharacterized LOC124294956". Lineage: Eukaryota; Metazoa; Arthropoda; Insecta; Hymenoptera; Diprionidae. The record is from RNAcentral.